GACAAUAUUAGUAAGACUUUAUAGGAUGUGGGAGGUGAAGAAAGCAGAGUUGGGAUGAUUCUUAAAUUUGUAACACAAAUGACUGCAUGACUGGUCGUUCUGUCAAAUGAGGCAGUGAAAUCUAGAUGGAGUUCAGGAAAGGGGCAAAAGACAAGUUCACUUUAGACAGUUUGGACAGGUUUACCAGAUAAGGCAGCACUCUUCAAGUCAAGGGGGAUUCUUUGGGAGCUAUUUUGGGGUCUCCUGUUUCCUGGAAUCAAUGACCAAUUUAAAUGCCAGGUCUCUGAUGUUCUUUACAAUUACUGUUUGGUUUUCUUGCCUUUUCUGGUCACAGUGCACAUUCAAGACACAAAGCCACGGUUGUCAGCAGCAGAUCCAGCAGCACCAUGGUCCUGGGGUCUGAAAGACUUCAUCUUGCUUUCCUCUGCUGCUCCAGACAAAGGCCGUCUUGUACACUAUCUAUUUCAGUCAUUUGUAUGAGCGCCGUGGAAUAUUUUCAAGCUAUCCCUUUUAAGCAUUAUCUCUUGGCAGUUAAGAAAAUAGAUCCAUCGCAAGCACUGGAAGUUCUGAAAAGGAGUUUAAAAAUAGCUCCGGGUGCUAGACAGCUGCAGCUAUUGGGAAACUGAACCCUUGGCUUGCACUUUUGCUGGUUUUAUUUCAACCUUGCAGCUGGAAAUCAGUAGCUCCUCCUCUGUUGGGAACAGAUGCAAAAGGAAGAAGGCACGAAUCAGUACCCUCUUUUGACUUGGGGUCACACUUGGCAAUCUGAAUGCUGAGAGGCACCAGGGCAAUGCAGAGUGAGCAUGUAAAACUCUUGAGUUUCAAACAGCCUAUCCAAUAUUAUCUUUAUAUUUAUUUGGAAGUGAAAAUAAAGCUUGUUGGUUUUGUCAUGCAAAUUAUAGGAAGCAAAUCAGAUAAAAUCCUCUUGGCUGGUAAGAAUAGGCAGAAAACACAUCAACUGGUAACAACACAAUGCUUUACAUGCAUUCUUUGACAACGCUAUGAAGUGACUGCUAUUGCCAUUUCCAUCUUUCGAGUGAAUGAGAAAGGAAAUUGUGGAAGAAAGUGCCUGGCCACAGAGCCAGGGAGCUGGGGAGGUGGGGUUGCCACACAGUCAGGCUCCAAAGCCCCUGCUCCCAGCCAUUGCACUCUACCACCUUUCAACUGGGGAUGCAUGCAAUGUUCAUGUUUCUCAAAAGGGAGCAUGGGUGUUUAAAAGUAGAAAACUCCAGUAAUAGACAUGAACAAAUCUCUGUUUUAAGCCUAGCUAUACCAUGAUGCCACUCAAUACAUUUUUGCUGAGUAAAUGAAGGACUGCAUUUUAAAUAAAUAAAGGAGGACCCUUAGCCUUUUUCUGUUUGUUUUUGUGAUUUUUUUUUUGAGAUGGGGUCUUGCUCUGUUGCCCAAGCUGGAGUGCAGUGGUGUAAACACGGCUUACUACAGCCUUGACCUCCCAGGCUCAAGUGAUCCUCCCACUUCAGCCCCCCAAGUAGCUGGGACUACAGACAUGCACUACCACACCUGGCUAAUUUUUGUAUUUUUUGUGAAGAUGAGGUUUCAUCAUGUUGCCAAGGCUGGUCUCGAACUCCUGAGCUCAAGUGAUCCACCUGCCUUGGCCUCCCAAAGUGCUGGGAUUACAGGCAUGAGCCACUGGAUCUGGCCCCCUUAGUCU
This 1672-nucleotide long non-coding RNA is filed under the name Homo sapiens (human). RNAcentral's name for it is "non-protein coding lnc-ZNF572-4:1". Lineage: Eukaryota; Metazoa; Chordata; Mammalia; Primates; Hominidae. The record is from RNAcentral.